UCCAAAUCAAAAUUUGGCUCUGCCACCUUUUACCUCUCUACUUUUGCAAUGAAGACUAUUUCCAUUUGUAUGGCCGUCUUUCUCUCCUUGUUUUUGCUUGCCAACUUCUGCUAUGCAGCAGAAGAAAAUGAAGCUGCCUUUCUGCCUGCUCGAGGAGCUGAUAUCACCAAAAAUGGAGAAGAAGCCAAAGAAGAGAAAUUCAAGUUUCUUCCUCACCACAUACCAUUCUACAAGAAGCCCAUUUUCAAGCCAAUUCCUCAUCAACCAAUCAUCAAGAAGCCAUUUCCUAAACCAUAUCAUCCACCAGUGCUCCCCAGCCAUCCUUGAAAGUAUGCUCGAUCUUAUAAUGCAAUGGAAUAAGAACACAUGUAGUAACCUUAAGCUUUAUCUUAGUUUCAUUUUAGAAGUUCAUAAAUGAUCAGAAGGCUUCAAGCUGAGAGUCAAGAGGAUAUACGAAGAAAACAAUAAUUUGGUUAGGGGGAAAAUAAAGAGACAGUGAGCUCUCUAUACUACUCAUGUAAUGUACUGUUAUGUUCAAGGUGGGGUGUUGAUCAUGCAAUGUAGCAAUAGAACAAAAUAUGUUGAGUCCAGUGUGUAUUUUGGCCCAAAAUAUAUUCACAUUACCUUCACUACAAA
This is a long non-coding RNA of Cucumis melo (muskmelon), 636 nucleotides long. RefSeq lists it as uncharacterized. The transcript is spliced from 2 exons. NCBI's taxonomy places the organism in Eukaryota, Viridiplantae, Streptophyta, Magnoliopsida, Cucurbitales, Cucurbitaceae. The record is from RefSeq and is a predicted model, not a curated record.